Molecule: ribosomal RNA, 1223 nt
Filed under: uncultured bacterium
Lineage: Bacteria
Description: bacterial SSU rRNA
Rfam family: Bacterial small subunit ribosomal RNA
Source: RNAcentral
UAGUUGGUGAGGUAAUGGCUCACCAAGGCAAUGACGCCUAACUGGUUUGAGAGGAUGAUCAGUCACACUGGAACUGAGACACGGUCCAGACUCCUACGGGAGGCAGCAGUGGGGAAUAUUGCACAAUGGGGGAAACCCUGAUGCAGCAACGCCGCGUGGAGGAUGACACAUUUCGGUGCGUAAACUCCUUUUAUAUAGGAAGAUAAUGACGGUACUAUAUGAAUAAGCGCCGGCUAAUGCUCCGUGCCAGCCCCGCGGUAAUACGGAGGGCGCCAGCGUAACUCGGAAUCACUGGGCGUAAAAGAGCGUGUAGGCGGGUUAAUAAGUUUGAAAGGGAAAUCCUAUAGCUCAACUAUAGAACUGCUUUGAAAACUGUUAACCUAGAAUAUGGGAGAGGUAGAUGGAAUUUUCUGGUGUAGGGGUAAAAAUCCGUAGAGAUCAGAAGAAAUACCGAUUUGCGAAGGCGAUCUACUGGAACAUUAUUGACGCUGAGACGCGAAAGCGUGGGGAGCAAACAGGAAUUAGAUACCUGGUAGUCCACGCCCUAAACGAUGUACACUAGUUGUUGCGAGGCUCGACCUUGCAGUAAUGCAGUUAACACAUUAAGUGUACCGCCUGGGGAGUACGGUCGCAAGAUUAAAAACUCAAAGGAAUAGACGGGGACCCGCACAAGCGGUGGAGCAUGUGGUUUAAUUCGACGAUACGCGAAGAACCUUACCUGGACUUGACAUAGUAAGAAUAUUUAAGAGAUUAGAUAGUGUCUGCUUGCAGAAACUUGCAUACAGGUGCUGCACGGCUGUCGUCAGCUCGUGUCGUGAGAUGUUGGGUUAAGUCCCGCAACGAGCGCAACCCUCGUCGUUAGUUGCUAACAGUUCGGCUGAGAACUCUAACGAGACUGCCUGGGUAACCAGGAGGAAGGUGAGGACGACGUCAAGUCAUCAUGGCCCUUACGUCCAGGGCUACACACGUGCUACAAUGGGGCAUACAAAGAGCCGCGAUACCGCGAGGUGGAGCAAAUCUGUUAAAAUGCCUCCCAGUUCGGAUAGUAGUCUGCAACUCGACUACUUGAAGUUGGAAUCGCUAGUAAUCGUAGAUCAGCAAUGCUACGGUGAAUACGUUCCCGGGUCUUGUACUCACCGCCCGUCACACCAUGGGAGUUGAACUCAUUCGAAGCGGGGAUGCUAAGGUAGCUACCCUCCACAGUGGAUUCAGCGACUGGGGUG